AGCGAACGCUAGCGGCGGGCUUAACACAUGCAAGUCGAGCGCUUCUCUUCGGAGGAGAGCGGCGAACGGGUGAGUAACACGUAGGUUAUCUACCCUUUGGUGGGGAAUAACCCAGGGAAACUUGGGCUAAUACCGCAUAUGGCCUUCGGGUCAAAGGCUUCGGCCGCCAGAGGAUGAGCCUGCGUCCCAUUACCUAGUUGGUAGGGUAACGGCCUACCAAGGGAACGAUGGGUAGCUGGUCUGAGAGGAUGAUCAGCCACACUGGGACUGAGACACGGCCCAG
RNAcentral lists this ribosomal RNA (283 nucleotides) under uncultured bacterium. RNAcentral's name for it is "partial 16S ribosomal RNA". It matches the Rfam family "Bacterial small subunit ribosomal RNA", at positions 29 to 334 of the family's 1533-position model. The record is from RNAcentral.